UAAGACGUAAACGUAUAUAUU
Molecule: non-coding RNA, 21 nt
Filed under: Caenorhabditis elegans
Lineage: Eukaryota; Metazoa; Nematoda; Chromadorea; Rhabditida; Rhabditidae
Source: RNAcentral